This 527-nucleotide ribosomal RNA is filed under the name uncultured bacterium. Its description in RNAcentral is "bacterial SSU rRNA". It matches the Rfam family "Bacterial small subunit ribosomal RNA", at positions 9 to 524 of the family's 1533-position model. The record is from RNAcentral.
GAGUUUGAUCGUGGCUCAGGACGAACGCUGGCGGCGCGCUUAACACAUGCAAGUCGAGCGAGAACCAGGCCUUCGGGCUUGGGAAAGCGGCGAACGGGUGAGUAACACGUGGGUAACCCACCCUUGGUACCGGGAUAGCCCGGGGAAACCCGGAUUAAUACCGGAUGGCCCAACAGCUCUUCGGGGCGGUUGGAAAAGGUAGCUUCGGCCUCCGACCAAGGACGGGCCCGCGGCGGAUUAGCUUGUUGGUGAGGUAACGGCUCACCAAGGCGACGAUCCGUAGCUGGUCUGAGAGGACGAUCAGCCACACUGGGACUGAGACACGGCCCAGACUCCUACGGGAGGCAGCAGUGGGGAAUCUUGCGCAAUGGGCGAAAGCCUGACGCAGCGACGCCGCGUGGGGGAAGAAGGCUUUCGGGUUGUAAACCCCUUUCAGGAAGGACGAAGCUACUCGGGUUAAUAGCCCAGAGGGUGACGGUACUUCCAGAAGAAGCCCCGGCUAACUACGUGCCAGCCGCCGCUGUAAC